CCCCCCCCCCCCCCCCCCCCCCCCCCCCCCCCCCCCCCCCCCCCCCCCCCUUUCCACCAUUUCCAGCUUUUCCAGCAUUUCCAGCUUUUCAGCAUUUCCAGCAUUUUCAGCUUUUCCAACAUUUCCAGCAUUCCCAGCACUCCCAGCAUUCCCAGCAUUUCCAGCAUUCCCAGCACUUCCAUCAUUCCCAGCAUUUCCAGCACUCCCAGCAUUUCCAGCACUCCCAGCAUUUCCAGCAUUCCCAGCAUUUCCAGCACUCCCAGCAUUCCCAGCACUCCCAGCAGGGUCACUGUGUGGCCCAGGCUGAGCUCAGGGCCCAGCCUGGCUGCGGGACGGGCAGGAACAGAAUUCCCUUCUGGGGUCGGGGUUCCAUCCUCAGGAGGGAGUGGGAAAAGUGGGAUUUGGGGGAUUUGGGGUUUGGGAUUUGGGGGAUACGGGAUUUGGAAUUUGAAGGAUACGGGAUUUGAGGGAUUUGGAGGAUAUGGGAUUUGGGAUUUGGGGGACAUAGGAAAUGGGAUUUGGGGGAUAUGGGAUUUGGGAUAUGGGAUUUGGGGGAUUUGGGAUAUGGGGGAUUUGGGAUAUGGGGAAUAUAGGUUAUGGGAUUUGGGGGAUAUGGGAUGUGGGGGAUUUGGGGGAUAUGGGAUUUGGGGGAUUUGGGAUAUGGGGGAUAUAGGUUAUGGGAUUUGGGGGAUAUGGGAUGUAGGGGAUAUGGGAUGUAGGGGAUAUGGGAUUUGCAAUUUGGGCGAUAUAGGAUAUGGGAUUUGAGGGAUAUGGGAUGUGGGAUAUGGGAUUUGGGGGAUAUGGGAUGUGGGAUAUGGGAUUUGGGGGAUAUGGAUUUGGGAUUAAGGGGAUAUGGGAUUUGCAAUUUGGGGGAUAUAAAACAUAGGAUUUGGGGGAAUUUGGAAUUUAGGGGAUUUGGUAUUUGGGGGAUAUGGAAUUUGGGGGAUAUGGGAUUUGGGAUUUGGGAUUUGGAGGAUAUGGAAUAUAGGGCACAGGAUUUGGGAUUUGGAGGGUAUGGAAUUUGGGAUACAGGAUUUGUGAUUUGGGGGACAUGGGAUUUGGGAUACCCCACUGUGGGGCAACCACUGGUGCCAGGAAGGAGCAGGGGGUUCCUGUGGGAGAGCAGAGUCCCACGAGGAUUUCUGGGGAUGGGGGAUGGCUCCAGGAUGGCUCCAGGAUGGCUCCAGGAUGGUUCCACCCCAAGCUCAGAGCGCAGAGUCCCGUGAGGAUUUUUGGGGACGGGGUGGCUCCCUGGUUCCAUCAGGGCUGUCAGGGACAGCGAGCACAGCGGGGUCGGGAAGGGGCUGCUGGGGAUGGUGUGGGAGGAGCAGCACUUUGGGACUGCAAACCUGGGUGACUAUGUAGAAGCGGAUUUAUUGUUGAUUUUAGCUUUAAUUAUACA
Molecule: long non-coding RNA, 1402 nt
Filed under: Ficedula albicollis (Collared flycatcher)
Lineage: Eukaryota; Metazoa; Chordata; Aves; Passeriformes; Muscicapidae
Description: lncRNA (ENSFALG00000024561.1)
Source: RNAcentral